Molecule: ribosomal RNA, 495 nt
Filed under: uncultured bacterium
Lineage: Bacteria
Description: partial 16S ribosomal RNA
Rfam family: Bacterial small subunit ribosomal RNA
Source: RNAcentral
GGCGAACGCUGGCGGCGUGCCUAAUACAUGCAAGUAGAACGCUGAAGGAGGAGCUUGCUUCUCUGGAUGAGUUGCGAACGGGUGAGUAACGCGUAGGUAACCUGCCUGGUAGCGGGGGAUAACUAUUGGAAACGAUAGCUAAUACCGCAUAAUAGUAGAUGUCGCAUGACAUUUGCUUAAAAGGUGCAAUUGCAUCACUACCAGAUGGACCUGCGUUGUAUUAGCUAGUUGGUGAGGUAACGGCUCACCAAGGCAACGAUACAUAGCCGACCUGAGAGGGUGAUCGGCCACACUGGGACUGAGACACGGCCCAGACUCCUACGGGAGGCAGCAGUAGGGAAUCUUCGGCAAUGGACGGAAGUCUGACCGAGCAACGCCGCGUGAGUGAAGAAGGGUUUCGGAUCGUAAAGCUCUGUUGUAAGAGAAGAACGAGUGUGAGAGUGGAAAGUUCACACUGUGACGGUAUCUUACCAGAAAGGGACGGCUAACUACGUG